CCCGAGCCAGCCGGCGGGCGUCCCGGAGGCGGCGGCGCAGGGAGGGGCCCAACGCGCCCACGUGCCCCGGCGGCGCCAUGCGACGGAAGCGGCACGGCUGGGGGCGCGGCGUUGGCGGCCCCGCCCCCUGGGCCGGGCAGGUGGCGGCCCAGGACCACGCGUCUACUUUCAGAGCCCCCCCCGGAACCGCAGGAGAGGGCCCAGGUGGCGCGGACGAUGAGGGCCCAGUGAGGCGCCAAGGGAAGGUCACCGUCAAGUAUGACCUCAAGGAACUACGGAAGCGCCUCAACCUAGAGGAGUGGAUCCUGGAGCAGCUUACGCGCCUCUACGACUGCCAGAAGAGGAGAUCCCAGAACUGGAGAUUGAUGUGGAUGAGCUCCUGGACACGGAGAGUGAUGAUGCCCGGGCUGCCAGGGUCAAGGAGCUGCUGGUUGACUGUUACAAACCCACAGAGGCCUUCAUCUCUGGCCUGCUGGACAAGAUCCGGGGCAUGCAGAAGCUGAGCACACCCCAGAAGAAGUGAGGGUCCCCAACCCAGGCGAACGGUGGCUCCCACAGGACAAUGGCUGCCCCCCGACCUCGUAGCAACAGCAAUACCGGGGGACCCUGCCGCCAGGCCUGGUGCCAUAAGCAGGGCUCCUCGUGCCCCUGGCCCAGGGGUCUCUUCCCCUGCCCCCUCAGUUUUCCACUUUUGGGGUUUUUUAUUGUUAUUAAACUGAUGGGACUUU
This is an RNA transcript of Cercocebus atys (sooty mangabey), 728 nucleotides long. It is a transcript of the gene named protein phosphatase 1 regulatory subunit 14B pseudogene, with no coding region annotated. The record is from RefSeq and is a predicted model, not a curated record. The transcript has a single exon. NCBI's taxonomy places the organism in Eukaryota, Metazoa, Chordata, Mammalia, Primates, Cercopithecidae.